This 3752-nucleotide long non-coding RNA is filed under the name Nicotiana benthamiana. RNAcentral's name for it is "long non-coding RNA (NBEN_LNC028105)". Lineage: Eukaryota; Viridiplantae; Streptophyta; Magnoliopsida; Solanales; Solanaceae. The record is from RNAcentral.
AACUGUACAAGACAAUAAUUAAAGUCAACAUAAAAUAGACUAAAACUAAAAAGAUUACUCAAGCAGCUCGUGCAUGUAAUGAUCUUGACUAGAAUGAUCCUGUGGUAUUUAUCAUGCUCAAACUCUAGAAAAUUUAUCCAUACCUGGAAGGAAAGAAUAAGAUCAAAUAGAGUUAGUGACUCGAGACACUUUGCGAUACCACGACACCUCUUGUUGGACACAUGCAAGACACGAUUGGGCUAGUUUUUGAAAAUGAACCUACAUAGCCAAGAAUAGCUAUAAGUGAAAAAUCAACAAGGGUGAUUACUCAGAUAUGAAAAUACCUUACUAAUGAUUAUAUGGAUUCAACUCCCAAUACUCAUGGCCCAAAAAUUAAUUUGAAGAAAUGACCCAUUUUACAAAACGACCGAUAUGGCCAAAAGUGGCUAAAAAUACAAACUCAAAAGGACGGACCUUAAAGUAAUAUAACACCUAGUUGUGGACUUAAGAUCCUAAGAUAUGGGUAAUUGAACUACUUUUGCAAAAAUAACCCCAUUUUGCAAGAAUGGCCGAUGUGGCCAAAAGUGGCCAGAUUUGGCUAAGACCCCGCAAAGCCAAGAACCUAAGACUCACUAGGAAGACCAGACCCUUUCGUACGUAUCUCACCCCGGAAGACGAGAAUCAGGUAUGCGUAGUUAUGGAAGAUUGGACAUGAAAGAAAGCUUUGGGGAAAAUGCAACUAAUUUGGAAAAAUAAUAUUUUUUGUCUUUUUGAAAAUGAUGGAAAAUGUAAAAUCUUUUUGGAUUUCUUUUUGAAUUUUUGGACAAUGAUAGAAAAUGUAAAAUCUUUUUGGGAUUUUCUUUUUAUCCUUUUUUUUUUGAAUUUUUGGAAAGUAAUGAAAAAGUGUAAUCUUUUUUGAAUUUUUCAUUUUCUUUUCUUGUUUUUUUUUUCAUUUUUGGAAAAUGAUGGGGAAGUGUAAAAUCUUUUUGUAUUUUUGUCAUUUUCAUUUUUUGAUUUUUGGAAAACUAUGAAAAAAAUGUGAGUGGCUCAUACUUGCUUCAUUUUCACUCUUCUUUCCCAAACAGCGGUCCGCCAAAUGACUUUUUUACCCUUGAAGAUGCAACAUGUAUCACAUAGGGAUGAUUGAAUGUCUUUUAGGAUCACUGGCCCAUUUUGACAAAAUUUGGAUAGGCCUCCUACAAAAGGACACAGUAUUGGGACCGAGCCUACUAAGUGUAAAUGACAUGAUGCAAAUAAGAAUGAUCUAAAGGCCGACCUACAUUUAGGGUUCACUAGACAAGGCACUUUGGGGCGGCACGUGAUCAAUGACGGCUGCUCUAGCUGUCCGCCCACUCCACGCUCCCACGCCACCCCCUAAAGACACGGGUAACUCACAAAAAGGCUGUGUACGCUCAAACGUACUUCAGAAGACUUGUUGCAGAAAGAAAACUCGGGGUUAUGCAAAUGGUGACAAUUAUAAAACAGUAAAUACAUAAAGCAAAAAUUGUAAACAAAUAAGCAGCUAGCAAAUAACAAAAAGACAUAAACAAAACAAAAAAUAAAUAAAGAAAACCAAACACAUAAAAAACUCAACACAAUAUCCUAAAAUCCAACAAGAUUAAGUACUAGCUCGAACCUGCAAUUCUCCAACAGAGUCGCCAGAGCCGUUGCACCCCUUUUUUAACUGAAGAAUAUGUAUUCUAGCAUAAUUCCCUUCACACGGAUCGUACAUGAUAAUCAUAUUAAAAUAUCCAAACAUCACAUAUUAAAGGGAAUGCGCUCGCAUUCCCCAAAAGAAAACCCCAGGCAUUAUUAUUAUUUCUAAAGAAAUUAAAACUGGGCAUUUAUACGAAUAGCAAUCCUAGCAGAAUCCAAGAAAUUGUUAGGAAAAGGAGUCAUUAGAUGAAUUUGGUGCUUCAGAAAACUAAGACACAAAUAUCAUUUCAAACAGAUUGCCAAUUUAGGACAACAAUCUUUCUACUCCAGUUAAUUGUUUCAAAACCAAAACUGAACUUCAUUCACUGGUACUGAAGUCUCAAGCAAACGAAACUAGCAGAAAUGAUAGCUUAACAAAAAUUUCAGUGAAAUUUCCCAUGGAAUCGCCUGCAAAUCAUGCUUAAAUCCUUCAAACAAAUUAGAUAAGUUUAUGGAAAUCAAACCUUCAGGCAAUUAGCUCGAGAGGACAUAAGACACUUACCAAGAUAACAUUAGAACAAAAAUGAAUUUUCAAACAGAUUUCAGCAGAAAGACGACUCACAUAACCUCCCUUUUUAAUCUCGAUUCCAAUCUGACCUAUGAGACACUAGUCAAACUCGUAAAUGAAAUCACCACUAAUUCCUGAAUCUUAGAAAGAUUGAGCUAAACCAACAGUGAAAACAAUUUCGAAGAAAUUCCAGCACUCAUUUCAGGUGUAAACUGCCUGAAAUAAAAUCAACUUAAACCAACAUGAAUCAAAUUUUAGCAUUCAGUAACCAAAACAGAACCUCAAGUGAAUCAACCUGAUGCUAUCAUCAACAAGCAUAGAGGAACAGGAUAAAAACCUUAAUAUCCAGGGGGUAUGUUUUCGAGUUCUUUUAAACUUAAGAAUACAAAAAUCUUCACCAAGGAAAACAAACCGAAUAGAGGCAUAGGAAUCUGAAUUUUUACUACAUUGAACAGAAUUAGAUGAAACUGAGAUUCAGUUAUGUAUUAAGCAUUUUAAAACAUUGAUCCUCCUAUUUACAUAUAGCAAAACCAUGAGAUUAAAGCAAUGAGCGUUCAUGUUAAGUGCGAAACAGAACUUCGACACCACAUAUUCAAGUAUAAUCCCUUUUGAAACAACCCAUCAAUAACCUACAAGUUCGUGAAUUACCCAAAGAUCUCGAACCCAACGCCUAAGGCUCUUAUCAUACUUUCAAUCACAACACUAGUGAAAUGAAAAGGAAAGAAAGAAACAUGUUCGAGCCAAAAAUUUCUUUAAUAAUAGCAGGAGAAAUCAGUGAGUACAAUCUCUUGUGCGAAGAUCGAACACAAAAAUACAGCAACACGAACAAGCAGAGUUGGCGGACACGAACCAAAAACUCGAACGGCGAACUCGACCUCGGAUCAAUCGAUCUCCACGUUGAAACCAAAUGCACGAGAAGAAACUAAAAUAUUUUUGGGGAAUUUUCUGAUUUUUCGAAAUAGAACAAAGCUCGAUCGAAAAUCAAACUCGAAUUAUUUAUUUAUUUAUUUUGUAUUUUUGUUUUCUGGAAACCAAACCCAACAAAAUCUCAAUAAAACUAGAGAGAACCCUGAUUUUUCAUUCUCUUCUCCGUUUCCGAAAUUUCGGUCCAAAGAACCCCCAAAACUCUUUUGAUUUCACUCUUUUAUAGUUCGAAAUCGGACAAAUGGAGGGUCCACAUUGAUAUUCAUUCAAUCUAUGUCCCCCAUUCAUUCAAUUCAAACUUGGAGAGCAAGAAAACACAUAUAAAUGAUGAAACUUUGUAUGGAGUGAGUGACGUUGAAGAAGGAGAGGAGAGGAGGGGGGACCAAUGGGUUAACUCGCCGGGUUGGCGAGUUUUUCCGGCAAGUUUGGGGUAAGCGACGCGGUAGAGGUGGAGAUGGGGGUUGGGGUGCGGUUGAAGUUUGUCUUUAGGGUUAGGGAUUUGGGGAUGUGAGUGUAUAUUUGGUAUAGGGAAAAGGAUCUGGGCCGUUGAUUAAGGGAGUGAAUGGCUGAUUUAAUUUAAAAAGCUGAUGAAUUAUGGGUUGGAGGGUUAUUUAGGGCGGGUUUAGUGGGUUUGGACGGGUCUGGG